Molecule: long non-coding RNA, 1418 nt
Organism: Callithrix jacchus (white-tufted-ear marmoset)
Lineage: Eukaryota; Metazoa; Chordata; Mammalia; Primates; Cebidae
Source: Ensembl
GGAAGGAAUCUCCGUGCAGCCACGAGUGAGCUGGGCUGUUCCCUGACCCACCUCUCCUCUGUGGUGCCCUUCUCUGUCCUCCUGGCUGCUUCAGGUGGUUUUGUCCUUUUUUAUUGCCUUUGGCUUCAGCCUAGUGGCUUUAGGUGCCAGAAAAUCAGAUUAACCACUGCAGCAGUGUCCUUCUCAGGGACCUGGGGGCCACCUUGGUCAUUCUGCCCAUUGUAUCUGGAGAGCUUGACAGACAGACAUGUGUGCGCCAGGUCAGGAAGUCACAGCCCUGUCCUGGGAAGGGCAGGUGGGAGAAAGCCCCCAGUCCCCUCCACCCUCGGGGAAUGGCCCAGUUGUCCACAGCCUAACUCAGGAACCUCGGUGAACAGGGCAAACCAGAGACUGCCCAGUCCCAGCAUCCACCCCAAGGGCGUGGCCUCCUUUGCCUCCUACCCCAGCUCCCAGCUGCUGCAGCUGUGUGGGUCUGACUGUGCCCAGGGUGCCUCCCCGUCUCAGACAGCACCCACCUUCAGGCCAGGCCUUCCACAGGAGGCUCAUAAACGCUGCCUUGUGAGCGUAUCAUUCCUGGAGCACACCUGCCAUGCAGCAUCAUUGCAUCACAACGCCCACCAGGAGCAGAUUGCCAGGCCGCGUUCUCUGGGUGUGAACAACAACAGCAACAAACCUGUGGCUAGUUCUUCAGUCAACAAAUUGGUAUUCGAAAGGCUGUCAUCGCUAGUACGGACGUCAUCGGUGAAUGAGAAGGCAGAGCCCGCAGCCGCACCUAAUAAAAGGCCAGCAGGGAGAUACAAUCUGCUGUGAUUGUGCAAUGAUGGGACAGAGGCCGGGGGUCACUAGUCCAGGUGCAGUUUUGAGUCCUCACGCAGUCUUUAAAAUGUGAUAAGGAAUGUAACUUUGAACUCAAUAACCUUUCCACCACGCUGUGAGCUAAAGGCAAAUACAACGGGUGGCCGGCCCCUGCCAGAGACAGGCACUGCGGGCCGCCCUCUCUCCAGGCAGGGCGGGGCACCCUGAGUGCUCAGUGGGCUUCCCAGCCCUCAGUCCCCAGACAGUGAGGGUCCCCGUCCUGCUGGGUGCCCCCCACCCCAGCUCCUGAGCCACAUGGUCACGGCUGGGGAAGCACAAUCCCAACCCUCAGGAAGGGUUUGUCAUCUUGCAACUCAGGACCCCUGGGCCAAUCACAGCAGCCUCAGCCUCAGUUUCCCUCUUGUUCAUUUCCCAUGUACUCCAGGGACCUCCCGAGGGACGUUCCCUUCCCAGAUAAGGCUGAAGUAAACCCUGGCAUGCAGGUGGGGUUGGGGGGGGGGGUCCUGGAGGGGACAUGCCUUGCUAAAGCCACCAAGCCCCCAGCAGUGCGCAAAGAUGGACAGGAGGGCGGCAGGGGCAUAGCUGGGCUCCAUGGAGUGGGG